Molecule: long non-coding RNA, 252 nt
Filed under: Manihot esculenta (cassava)
Lineage: Eukaryota; Viridiplantae; Streptophyta; Magnoliopsida; Malpighiales; Euphorbiaceae
Description: long non-coding RNA (MESC_LNC010864)
Source: RNAcentral
GCCCAAAACCACUUCAAACACUGCCAGCUCAAAUCCAAAAGCCACAAGGAUGUCCUUCUACCAAGAGAAUUCCAUCUACAACAAAAUACAAGAAGAGAAAGAGGAAUCAAAGACCACAAAGACCAAGUCAAAAUAGGGAUUCCAAACCCUAAUUGAACUUGGACUCUCCAGCUAUAAGAAGGCAGCCUCCAAACCAGCAAGAGCAUCUUCUUCCACCUUUGGAAAUCUACAGAAUUCAGCAGGAGAAUUGCA